Non-coding RNA from Arachis stenosperma, 73 nucleotides. The record is from the annotation of a RefSeq genome assembly. Lineage: Eukaryota; Viridiplantae; Streptophyta; Magnoliopsida; Fabales; Fabaceae.
GCGGUGAUAGCUUAGUUGGGAGAGCGUUAGAUUGAAGAUCUGAAGGUUGCAUGUUCAACCUAUGCUCACCGCA